CCGGCCGGACCGGCCGCGGCGGCCGGUCCGCUCCCGGCGGGCCCGACGACACCGGCGUCCGGCGCGCUCCCGACCGGCCC
Molecule: transfer RNA, 80 nt
Filed under: Streptomyces subrutilus
Lineage: Bacteria; Bacillati; Actinomycetota; Actinomycetes; Kitasatosporales; Streptomycetaceae
Description: tRNA-Gly
Source: RNAcentral